AAAAAAAAAAAGCUCCUCAAAAUAAUUGAAAGAGAUCUUCACCAAGGAGUAGCUGCAAUGUGAAUGGCAGGGUAUCAAGGAAGUAAGAGAGCUAUCACUGCCAAAGGCUACUGACUGAAUAAAGAGAAGAGCUCAAGGAUUUCAGAGAAGAUUUUGAACAUGGUGAUGGAUAAACAACACUUAUAGGAGAAAUGAAGAUACUUUCUCAUCCCUGGUUCACCCAAGUGUCCAGCACCCAGUGAAUGUGAUAAGAGAUAAUGGUGUUUGUGAAGGGUACACAUGCAGUGAUACUGUCACCUUUCUAAAACAGAUGCCACUGUAGACAUUUUGCUAGCCCUCUUUCACUGUACACACAGCUUGGUGUACCUAAUUUAUUAACCCUCAAAUAUUCUAAGACAGAGCUGAGC
Lemur catta (Ring-tailed lemur) is the source of this 407-nucleotide long non-coding RNA. RefSeq lists it as uncharacterized. Lineage: Eukaryota; Metazoa; Chordata; Mammalia; Primates; Lemuridae. The record is from RefSeq and is a predicted model, not a curated record. The transcript has 3 exons.